This 507-nucleotide ribosomal RNA is filed under the name uncultured fungus. Its description in RNAcentral is "SSU rRNA". It matches the Rfam family "Eukaryotic small subunit ribosomal RNA", at positions 569 to 1078 of the family's 1831-position model. The record is from RNAcentral. Lineage: Eukaryota; Fungi.
AGCAGCCGCGGUAAUUCCAGCUCCAAUAGCGUAUAUUAAAGUUGCUGCAGUUAAAAAGCUCGUAGUUGAAUUUCGGGACUAAUAUGUUGGUCGUGCUUCGGUACGUACUGAUAUUUUUGGUUUCUCCCUUCUGACGAACCUUGAUGUCAUUAAUUUGGUGUCUUGGGAAAUCAGGACUGUUACUUUGAAAAAAUUAGAGUGUUUAAAGCAGGCUCACGCUUGAAUACAUUAGCAUGGAAUAAUGAAAUAGGACGUUUGAUUCUAUUUUGUUGGUUUCUAGGAUCGACGUAAUGAUUAAUAGGGAUAGUUGGGGGCAUUAGUAUUCAAUUGUCAGAGGUGAAAUUCUUGGAUUUAUUGAAGACUAACUACUGCGAAAGCAUUUGCCAAGGAUGUUUUCAUUAAUCAAGAACGAAAGUUAGGGGAUCGAAGACGAUCAGAUACCGUCGUAGUCUUAACCAUAAACUAUGCCGACUAGGGAUCGGAUGAUGUUAAUUUUUUAAUGACUCA